CAAGUGAAGAGCUGACAAAAACAAAGCACUAUGAAGAGGAAAAGUUUUUUCAUCAUCAUAAACCUCUCUUCAAGAAACCAAUUCCAUUUAUUAAACCUGUUCCAAAACCAAUUCCAUUUGUAAAACCAAUUCCCAUUUAUAAGCCUUAUCCCAAACCAGUUCCAGUUCCGGUUUAUAAGCCAAUUCCAGUUUAUAAGCCAGUUCCGAUUUAUAAGCCAAUUCCAAAGCCAGUUCCAGUUUAUAAGCCUGUUCCAAUUUAUAAGCCAGUUCCAAAGCCAGUUCCUAUUUAUAAGCCAAUUCCAAAACCGGUUCCAGUUUAUAAGCCAAUUCCAAAACCAGUUCCAGUUUAUAAGCCAGUUCCAAUUUAUAAGCCAAUUCCAAAACCGGUUCCUAUUUAUAAGCCAAUUCCAAAACCAGUUCCAGUUUAUAAGCCAAUUCCAAAACCAGUUCCAGUUUAUAAGCCAAUUCCAAAGCCAGUUCCAGUUUAUAAGCCAAUUCCAAAGCCAGUUCCAGUUUAUAAGCCAGUUCCAAUUUAUAAGCCUAUUCCAAAACCAGUUCCUAUUUAUAAGCCUAUUCCAAAACCGGUUCCUAUUUAUAAGCCUAUUCCAAAACCGGUUCCAGUAUACAAGCCUGUUCCAAUUCCAGUGUUUAAGCCUAUACCAAAACCAGUACCCUUUUAUAAGCCAAUUCCUGUUUUUAAGCCAGUUCCAACCCCAUUUCCUAUUAUCAAGCCUAUACCAAAACCAGUACCAUUUUAUAAGCCAAUUCCUGUUUUUAAGCCGGUUCCAAAACCAUUUCCUAUUAUCAAGCCUAUUCCAAAACCAGUUCCUUUUGUUAAACCUAUUCCUAUUUUCAAACCUAUUCCAAAACCGUUGCCUUGAAACCAUAGUGAUAAUUCUUUUAUGCCAAAGCCUUUCUUCAAAAACCCUAAUCCUUAUAAGUUUGCACUUCACCCCAUUUGAGAAGCCACACCCCAUAUUUGCCAAUUCCAAUUCCAAUUUCUUUAAAACUAUCAUGGUUAGAAAAUGUUUAUCCAUUCUAUUUUCAUUAUGGUCACGCCUGCUCUAAAAAAAUCAAUGGCGUUUCUGUAAAAACCCUAUCCUUUGCAUUGUGUUAGAAUAUAUGCAUUUCUCUCAAUAAUGUUGUAUAUCAGUUUGUGUAUCAUUCCAAGAAUAGAAAUAAUAUUUCUCUAUUUUUGGCUUUAAUAAUAUUUGUAUUUUUCCUUUUGAUAUUUUUUGUGACUCCCUUUUCAGAGCAUGGCUACUCCAUUACUUUUAAGUUAAACUAACUAGAUAAAUUAUGCUAACUUUUAGGGUUGGGUUAAUUUAUAACUUCACUCUAAUCGUUUCCAAAAUAUAGAGUAAUUAAAUGCUUUAUUUGUGAAGGUGGAAAAAAAGUAAUCUAGGUCAAGUAACGCAUAAUGAAAUCUGUUAUCAUGCACGUGUUGAUCAAUGUAAUGAAAUUAAGGUGUAUCUCGAAAAUGUAAACUGAAAAAAUAAUUAUAAUAAUUCAUUGUACGAUCGAAAAUCAUUAAAUAUAAAUUAAUUUUAAAUACUAAAAAUUAUUGUAUUGAUUAAAUUAGAUACUAUCAAAUAUAAACUUUUAACAAUCACAAAAUUGUGCUUUGGGAUAUACAAAACAGAUAGAAAUCUAGAAACAUACAUUUUAUGUAUACACAUCACACAUUUUAGAAUUUAGAGAGUGAUAAAAUGACUAACCUUAACAUUGAUUCUUAAGUAAAUUAUUCUUAUUGUUUCAUUGUUUACCCCUAAUAGAUGGUCAAAUCUCUGGCUUUAAAGUGACUCUACUUUUGUCAUACAUGCUUUUAACAACCACAAAAUAGUGCCUUGAGAUAUGUGAAAUAGAUGGAAAUGUUACCUUAAAAGAACUAGAAACAUCCAAUUUAUGUAUUAAAAACACAUUCAAAGACUGAAACAAGUGUGUUGAUAAAAUAACUAACAUUCACAUUGACUCUCAAAUGGUCAUGGUUUCACCACUUAUCCCUGAAAGAUGGUUAAACUCUAUAAUUUUAAAGUGACUCUAUUUUGGUGAUAGAGGCUUUUAACAACAACAAAAUAACGCCUUGGGAUAGAAAUCAAAUGGAGCUUAUGUUUUGAAAGAAUUAUGAAGUGGAUCAGAGGAAUAACUCAUUAGUGUAUUUUUUUAAUUAAAAAUUAAAAUAAAAAAUAAUUUAAAAUAUUAAUGAUUUGUAUUAUAUUAUUGAAAUGACUUAAAUAUAUAAAAUAAAUAUACCUUAAAUUAUUAAUACGUACUAAUUAACUUCCAAUUAUUAAUAAUUAAGAAGUAAUUUUAUAUAUGUAUUUGGAUAAUGUGUGAUAAUUGGGUAGGUGUAAAAUCAGUGCAUCAUGAACAAUUAAUCCAACAUUUUCAACCUUUUUAUAUCAUGGAAUUAUCUGAAAAACAUAAUAGAGUUUGGAAAGGAGUGUGGAUAGAAAUUGUAUGGACCAUAUGGAACCAUAGGAAUAACAUACUUUUCGUUGGAUGAAAAGUGCUCAUUGAGAAUCAAAUAGAACCUUAUAGUGGGAGACACUACAAGAAAAAUCAUCAAAUAGAAACCAAUUUUAGAGACAAAAAAUAAUUAAUUGUUAUAGUGACUAAAUUAGAGACUAUUUUAGAAAAUAAAAAAAAUUGGUUUCUAAAUUAGUUUCUAUUAUUGUUAAAUGGUUUACUAAAUUGGUAUCUAAUUAGCUACCAAGGUUUUUGCUACCAAAUUUAGAAACUAAAUAGUUGGUAGUUAAAACUUGGUAGUUAAUUAGAUACCAAUUUAGAAACUAUUUAACAAUAAUAGAAACUAAUUUAGAAAUAAAAAAAAAAUUUAGUCUUUAAAAUGGUCUUUAAUUUAGUCACUAUAGCAACUAAUUAUUUUUUGUUUCUAAAAUUAGUUUCUAUUUUAUGAUUUUCUUGUAGUAGUGAGAGGUGAGGUAAAGGGCAGGUGUGAUACUUUUAGAGCUAGUGGUGGUUCAGGCUACAAGGACUGCAAUUCUAAUGAACCAUCUGGUAUAUUAUGCAGAUGCAUCUAUGAAGUUGGUGUUGAUUCGUGGGGAGUGUUUUGGGCUUAUUUGAUCCAUUUGUUUUGUCUAAAGUCUGAGAGAUAGUAGGUAAUUUUGGGCAGGAACAUGCAGAAGUGGUAAUAAGUAGAAUUGGUAGGUUUUGUGUCCAAUGCGUAUUAUGAGCUUAUUGUCAUGAGAGCAAUAAGGAAAUGUAUUAGGAUGGUUUGCCAGAAAUUCUGCUCCUAUUAUGAUAGUUUUAAAUCGUAUGAAUAUCAGCUGACAAAUAAAUCUGCACUUUUAAUCAGGGUGGAUGCAAGCUCUGUAGCAGCUCAGAAGGACAGUUACCAAGUAUGAUGUGAUACAAAUAAUCUUUGAAAAAUAUUACUUUAACAACUAUAAAUCAACUCAAGUUUUAGUAAAAUAUUAUGAGUGCUGAUAUGUUAACAACUUUGUAUUGAAUUUUAACUCGAAAGUAACAUUAGAGCAAAUUAGAGUUGUGAACUGAUAUCUUUCGUUAUAUAGUCGUCAAAAGUAACAUUUUUCAGAGAUUAUUUCUCCUUCAACUUUUAUCAGUUGUAGUCUGAAACAAUUCAUAUUGGGUAAUAAAUAAACCAUAGAAAAAGAUUGCAAAAACUGGUCCUAUGCUGCUAUUUUGCUAGCUUACAAGGAACUUUUUGCCCCAUGCAAGUUAUCUAAUUUGUAGGUUACCAGGUUUGGAGACCAAUUGUCUGCUGAGUGAUAUAAGGAAGAGGGAGGUUUGUAAGUUGUAUAGCAGCAUAAUGUGCUAUCUAUAAAGCAAACUAUUAAAAAGUGAACUUUAAGCCUAACUCAACCCUAUAAAACCGGUUCAUAAGGUUGAGGUUUGCAUUUAUUUAUAUACAAUGAAAUGUCCUAAUCUCUAGUCGAUGUGAGAUUUCCAACACAAACCAUGGAAAGAUGUAUGCAGUAAUGACAUUAGAUACAUUUGAGUAUGUUUGCUCUUCCACCUGUUCUAUUAACUCUUCUACGAUUGGCAAGACUUGUGCCUGCUAAUAUAAUAUUGUUUUGCUGAUAUAAAAAAAUUAUAACUUGUGAACACCCUUAAUUAAUUAUCAUGUAUUCUUAAUGUAAAAGGCAAAUGCCAAUUAAAAAAAUACUUAACAAAAACAAAGUUCAGUACUGUUUGUUACUUUAAUUUUUGUUUUUUAUCAGCAAUGAAUGAAAUAAAUUAAUGUUACUUUAAUAUGUUAUCAAUCUUACGGAAGGUAACAUUAAGAAGCUCAUUAAGGAGAAAUGUUGAUUACAUGUAUUCCAAUGUAGUACACAAGAAGGGUACAAAAGGAUUAUGCAAUCAUUAUUGAGGUUGGAAUGUGCCCUAUCUCUCUAUAUAAAUGUAGUACAAUAUAGUUAUGAUUUCAUGGAGUAGGAAUUGGCUUCAGAAUUGGCAAUGGUGGUAGAAGUGGCUUCUUGAAUUUGGGAUCAAGGGGUAGCUUAGGAAUAGGCUUUUUGAAGAAAUUAUUUGGUUUUAAAAACUCCUCUGACUCAACAGUAGGGAUGGGCUUUUUCACUGUAAAGGGUUUUGGAAUUUCCUUAACAAAAGGAAUUGGCUUUGGAAUUGGUUUAAGAAUAGGAAUUGGCUUAACAAUGGGAACUAGUUUUGGUACAGGCUUAUAUACUUUGACAGGGACUGGCUUCACAACAGGAAUUAUUUUUGGGAUUGGCUUAACUAUUGGAAUUUGCUUGGUUGGGAAAAAACCUUUGAAUUUUGCUUCUUCGUUGGGAAUUGGCUUUAGAAUAGGCUUAACUAUGGGAAUUGGUUUUGAUGUAGGCUUAUAAACUGGAAAAGGAAAGGGUUUAACAGUAGGUUUAACUAUUGGAAUUGGCUUUGGAAUAGGUUUAAGAAUAUGGAUUGGUUUUGGAAAAAAUCCUUUGAAUUUUGCUUCUUCAUCAUCUCCUUCAAUACUUGCUUUUGCAAACUCUUCAUUUGAAACCUUCCCAUCUGUGUUCACCUCAUUCCCUACAUCAGAAAUGAAUAAAUAUAUGCAAGUCAAACACUCAUAAAUAUUUUCUGCUACCUUCUAACAAUCAUACUGUUUUAAUAAAUGUAAGAAGGACUAACACAAAAACAUAUGAUGAUAUUUCCUAAACUAUGAUCCUAACAAAAUUAUUAUAAUGUAUGUGUAAGUAAUAGCAUGAGCCAGAGACCUGUAAUUUGAGUUGUGGCCAAAACAGAAGGAGCAUAAGAGAAGGUGGCAAGGAAGAAGAACAGAAGUGCACAUUGCAGAGUGAAACCUUUUGUCAUUUAGAACACAAGUAAUGAAAGCUGAAAAGGAAAUAUCUGAAGGCUUGAGUAACUCCUUUCUCAUAUUCUCAUUAUUUAUAAUACCUACCUUCAAUUGGGACUAACAUUGGUCAAUAUCCUCAUUACAUGUUUUAAAGUAUACUCCGAAAUUUUAUAUUUGGUUCAGGGAUUAUUAUGUGGGUGGUUCCAAAUUUGACUUAUGUUUAGAGAGGUCAAUAGUGUUUAACACCGUUGUUGCUGUUGCUGUGAUAAUGCAUGGAUUCUCCCUCCAUUGAAUGAGCCUCCCAAAUUAGGUGCUUCUUUUCUUUGAGUGUUUUGGAGAAGAGAAAUGCUGAUUGGGAAAAAAGGUAUAUAGCUAGAAAAAUACUAAGUAAGAAUCUGUUUUUGUGCAGUUGCAACAAUGAAAGUAGAAGCUAAGUGGGAAGGGUUAUUCUUUAAAACAAACAUGUUGUAUGCAUUUUAGUGUAAACACAGCGUGGAGGAAGUUCAUAUCAUUUUAUGCAAGUAGCAUGAAGAUCUAAAAAUAAAGGUACAGUGAUACAAGGAAAUUUUGGUUGGAAAUGAGUAUACCAUAGUAGAGCAUGAGAAAGAUAUAUAACUCUGUUCACUAGAGUUUUUAUAAAAAGUGCUAUAUAUAUAGGUAUUAAAAAUGAAAAGGAAAACUUUUAAAGUUUGAGGAACAGAGAGUUAUCACUUUAAAGAGUUUGGAAUUAGCUUGUGAAUUGGCAAUGGUGGUAGAAGUGGUUCCUUGAAUUUGGGAUGAAGGGAUAAUACAAUGUAUGCAGUUGAACUCAUUAGUGAGAUAAAGUUAUUUUUGUUAUUGUUUUAAGAUGGUUAAAGUAUGAUAUAGCUGAAUUUGAGAAACUAAAAAAUAAGGGAGGCAAAAGUUCUUAAAAUAGUAUUACAAUUAAAAAAAAAUUGAUAUUGACCCUUUGUAUUUGAACCUACCUACCUAUGUUUGAUGUAGUUUUGAACACCCAAAGGAAAAUGAAACAUGUUUUCCAGACUCAUUUAUUGAAGAGAGAAUCCAUCAUUAACACACCAAGAACAGAGGUGUUAAACACUUUUGACCUCUCUAAACAAACAUCAACCACCCUCAUUAUGAUGUAAUGACUAAUGACAAAUCAAUGCCAUGUUUCUAGGUGCUGAUAAAAAGAAAUCAUAAGAUAGGCAUUAUAAAUAAUGUGAUUAUGCAGCAACUUCUGACUCAAACAUUCAGACAUUUCUCCUUUUAGCUUCCAUUAGUGUUUUAACAAUGAGAAUGUACUGUGCACUCUUCUGCUUCUGGUUUCCCUUGUUGCUCCUUUCCAACUUAGCUUCUGUUUUUGCCACAACUCAAAUUUCAGGUUUGUGUUGGUUUCUGUUAUUUAUAAAUGAAAGAGUUAUUUAUUUGAAUAACUACAUUUAUGAAGGAAACACUAUUAGAAUGUAAUUGUUGUAUGAUGGGCUAAUUUGAGAAAUUGACAUAAUGUAAGAACAUCAGUUAUUAACUUAUACAUUUAUUGCAUUUCUUAUGUAGGCAAUGAAGUGAACAAGUAUGGGAAUAAUGCAGAAGGCCAUGAUGAAGAAUCAAAAUUCAAAGGAUUGUUUACUAAACCAAUUCCAUUUGUUAAACCUAUUCUAAAGCCAGUUCCUGUUAUUAAACCUAUUCCAAAGCCAGUUCCUGUUAUUAAACCUAUUCUAAAGCCAAUUCCUGUUAUUAAACCUAUUCUAAAACCAAUUCCUGUUAUCAAACCUAUUCUAAAACCAAUUCCUGUUAUCAAACCUAUUCUAAAACCAAUUCCUGUUAUCAAACCUAUUCCAAAGCCAGUUCCUGUUAUUAAACCUAUUCCUAUUCCAGUUUUUAAUAAGCCUGUACCAAAAUCAAUUUCCAUUAAGCCCACACCAAAACCAAUUCCAGACAUAAAGCCAAUUCCCAGUGAAGAAGUAAAAUUCAAAGGUCUUUUCCCAAAACCUAUUCCCAAAAUUAAGGCAAUACCAAAGGUAAUUCCAGUUGUUAAGC
Molecule: long non-coding RNA, 7294 nt
Filed under: Phaseolus vulgaris (common bean)
Lineage: Eukaryota; Viridiplantae; Streptophyta; Magnoliopsida; Fabales; Fabaceae
Description: long non-coding RNA (PVUL_LNC000466)
Source: RNAcentral